Brassica napus (rape) is the source of this 1755-nucleotide long non-coding RNA. RefSeq lists it as uncharacterized. The record is from RefSeq and is a predicted model, not a curated record. Lineage: Eukaryota; Viridiplantae; Streptophyta; Magnoliopsida; Brassicales; Brassicaceae. The transcript is spliced from 5 exons.
CUUUGGCAACAAACAGGUCAUUCAGUAUUGAGAUGCGUUUUCUCCUACGCUUCGUUUUCUCUAAUCAAAACUGUAGUCUAUCAUCUCGCUUCAUAUCCUUGUCGAUGGCUCAGCCUUUCCUGUCACCUCUUUCCAAACUCCCCUUUCGCUUUGAUUUUCUUCAGGCCCUAACCAGCAAUCGAGCAAUAUAUCAGGUUUCCUUUCUAAAUCUAAUACCCACCGCUCUACACUUCAUUCCGUCGAAACACUUUCCAGGGUUUCUGUUUUGUUGUGUGAUCAUGAGACUCAAGAGAUUGAAGGAGCGACCUUAUAUGAUUCUAUGUCUACGAUGAGGAUGAGUUUGAUGACCCCAAAACAAAUAUGAAACAAACGAUGAUAUUUAUUGAUUACCGCCCAAGCUUCACUCUUUGUUUUGUUUUGUGUUUUUUUCCUUUGUUACACUCAUGCUGAUUACUUCCUAAUUAAUUGAGUUCUCUGUGGUUUAUUAUUUUUUAUGUGUGGAAAGGAUCUCACUUUGAGUAAUAGCUCCAGCAAAAGAGUUUCUCGUCGUCAAACAGGUUAAUUUGAAAACUGUCUGAUUUUGAAUACUGUAAUUUUACUCUGCAAUUUGUUUUAAAAUUCCCCUCUCUCCCUGAAGUUUGAUUCUUAUGAUGAGUUUUUCGGUGAUCUGUGGGCUCUCCAAGCUCAUUCGUUCUACAUCUCAUCACCUUAAUUUGUUUAAUUACUCACGUAUUCUAUAAUUUUUUUGGGUGUUUACUCUAGCGUUAUUAUUGUUGUUUUUAUUGACUGGAUUUUAGUUGCUAAUAAACAUACAUGUUUCUUUGUUGAUAUUGUCCUCCGACUUCUCUUUCAUCAUAUUAUCUUAGUUAUUUUUUCUCUACAAUGAUUUGAUUUAUUCAUGACUUUCCUACUUUUGUUCAUCAUAUUCAGAAGCUGGAAAAGAAAGUUAAGCUUCUCAAGAAUCACUCACAUCCAAAUAUAGUUGUAUUUACGCACAUUGAGAGAAUGAAACUUUGAACAUCUUCUUCCAUAUCAUACUAUAUUCCAGAGCGUCGAAAACCAUGGCGAAUCCUCAAGUUCUUUUGUAUGAGUUGAACGUUGAUUGGCGCAAGGAAAUUGCAGAGGCCAAACGUCGGUGUCAGUGUUUUGGAUAGAUUUGCCAACCUCCUUUAUAUAUGGUUCCUUUACUUGUAUGAUUAACGAUUGUUAGUUAACUUUUUAGACACAGCAACAUCCUUUAUAACGUAUGUGUUUUUAACAACUUAGCCACUACCGACCACCACUUCCAGACUUUGGAGGUCAUGGAAGGGAUAACCAGCCUGGUGAUGACAUGCUUGGAGCUGGAGCGGUUAAAACCAAUCCUACUGAUAGGUUUAACAGUGCAUCGCCUGAGAAAAUACCUGAUGGUGAUAACGCUGGAAUGCUUUAAGAAAGUGCUGUCGGCCCUGCUCUUCCAACUGUUCUGUCUCGAUAAAUCAACAGAUAAGAAAUUAAGAAUGAACCACUAAUGGAGGAGAAGGUUGAAGGGAAGAAGCCACACGUGACUUAACUUCACAGGCUUAGGAGAGCCAAAGGUCAGAAUGGACAACCUCUACUCUUUCGCAUUUCUGUUUUUAAAUGUUUCCACUUUGACUUUGUCUACUGUUUCCUGAAAUUAAACCAGCUGCUGGUUGUGUUUUAACUUUUAGUUGUAGUUGUUACAAGGGAAAGGUAUUCGUUAUAUGUUCAUAAAUAAAAGUUCCUUUAAAUCCUCUA